This is a non-coding RNA of Cyclospora cayetanensis, 60 nucleotides long. Lineage: Eukaryota; Apicomplexa; Conoidasida; Eucoccidiorida; Eimeriidae. The record is from Rfam.
UUCAUGCCGUAACAUGAAGCGAGUCGCCCCGUAAGGCGGCGGCAAACUGAAUGUGGCUAU